This 2902-nucleotide ribosomal RNA is filed under the name Escherichia coli. Its description in RNAcentral is "23S ribosomal RNA". It matches the Rfam family "Bacterial large subunit ribosomal RNA". The record is from RNAcentral. Lineage: Bacteria; Pseudomonadati; Pseudomonadota; Gammaproteobacteria; Enterobacterales; Enterobacteriaceae.
GGUUAAGCGACUAAGCGUACACGGUGGAUGCCCUGGCAGUCAGAGGCGAUGAAGGACGUGCUAAUCUGCGAUAAGCGUCGGUAAGGUGAUAUGAACCGUUAUAACCGGCGAUUUCCGAAUGGGGAAACCCAGUGUGAUUCGUCACACUAUCAUUAACUGAAUCCAUAGGUUAAUGAGGCGAACCGGGGGAACUGAAACAUCUAAGUACCCCGAGGAAAAGAAAUCAACCGAGAUUCCCCCAGUAGCGGCGAGCGAACGGGGAGCAGCCCAGAGCCUGAAUCAGUGUGUGUGUUAGUGGAAGCGUCUGGAAAGGCGCGCGAUACAGGGUGACAGCCCCGUACACAAAAAUGCACAUGCUGUGAGCUCGAUGAGUAGGGCGGGACACGUGGUAUCCUGUCUGAAUAUGGGGGGACCAUCCUCCAAGGCUAAAUACUCCUGACUGACCGAUAGUGAACCAGUACCGUGAGGGAAAGGCGAAAAGAACCCCGGCGAGGGGAGUGAAAAAGAACCUGAAACCGUGUACGUACAAGCAGUGGGAGCACGCUUCGGCGUGUGACUGCGUACCUUUUGUAUAAUGGGUCAGCGACUUAUAUUCUGUAGCAAGGUUAACCGAAUAGGGGAGCCGAAGGGAAACCGAGUCUUAACUGGGCGUUAAGUUGCAGGGUAUAGACCCGAAACCCGGUGAUCUAGCCAUGGGCAGGUUGAAGGUUGGGUAACACUAACUGGAGGACCGAACCGACUAAUGUUGAAAAAUUAGCGGAUGACUUGUGGCUGGGGGUGAAAGGCCAAUCAAACCGGGAGAUAGCUGGUUCUCCCCGAAAGCUAUUUAGGUAGCGCCUCGUGAAUUCAUCUCCGGGGGUAGAGCACUGUUUCGGCAAGGGGGUCAUCCCGACUUACCAACCCGAUGCAAACUGCGAAUACCGGAGAAUGUUAUCACGGGAGACACACGGCGGGUGCUAACGUCCGUCGUGAAGAGGGAAACAACCCAGACCGCCAGCUAAGGUCCCAAAGUCAUGGUUAAGUGGGAAACGAUGUGGGAAGGCCCAGACAGCCAGGAUGUUGGCUUAGAAGCAGCCAUCAUUUAAAGAAAGCGUAAUAGCUCACUGGUCGAGUCGGCCUGCGCGGAAGAUGUAACGGGGCUAAACCAUGCACCGAAGCUGCGGCAGCGACGCUGAUGCGUUGUUGGGUAGGGGAGCGUUCUGUAAGCCUGCGAAGGUGUGCUGUGAGGCAUGCUGGAGGUAUCAGAAGUGCGAAUGCUGACAUAAGUAACGAUAAAGCGGGUGAAAAGCCCGCUCGCCGGAAGACCAAGGGUUCCUGUCCAACGUUAAUCGGGGCAGGGUGAGUCGACCCCUAAGGCGAGGCCGAAAGGCGUAGUCGAUGGGAAACAGGUUAAUAUUCCUGUACUUGGUGUUACUGCGAAGGGGGGACGGAGAAGGCUAUGUUGGCCGGGCGACGGUUGUCCCGGUUUAAGCGUGUAGGCUGGUUUUCCAGGCAAUCCGGAAAAUCAAGGCUGAGGCGUGAUGACGAGGCACUACGGUGCUGAAGCAACAAAUGCCCUGCUUCCAGGAAAAGCCUCUAAGCAUCAGGUAACAUCAAAUCGUACCCCAAACCGACACAGGUGGUCAGGUAGAGAAUACCAAGGCGCUUGAGAGAACUCGGGUGAAGGAACUAGGCAAAAUGGUGCCGUAACUUCGGGAGAAGGCACGCUGAUAUGUAGGUGAGGUCCCUCGCGGAUGGAGCUGAAAUCAGUCGAAGAUACCAGCUGGCUGCAACUGUUUAUUAAAAACACAGCACUGUGCAAACACGAAAGUGGACGUAUACGGUGUGACGCCUGCCCGGUGCCGGAAGGUUAAUUGAUGGGGUUAGCGCAAGCGAAGCUCUUGAUCGAAGCCCCGGUAAACGGCGGCCGUAACUAUAACGGUCCUAAGGUAGCGAAAUUCCUUGUCGGGUAAGUUCCGACCUGCACGAAUGGCGUAAUGAUGGCCAGGCUGUCUCCACCCGAGACUCAGUGAAAUUGAACUCGCUGUGAAGAUGCAGUGUACCCGCGGCAAGACGGAAAGACCCCGUGAACCUUUACUAUAGCUUGACACUGAACAUUGAGCCUUGAUGUGUAGGAUAGGUGGGAGGCUUUGAAGUGUGGACGCCAGUCUGCAUGGAGCCGACCUUGAAAUACCACCCUUUAAUGUUUGAUGUUCUAACGUUGACCCGUAAUCCGGGUUGCGGACAGUGUCUGGUGGGUAGUUUGACUGGGGCGGUCUCCUCCUAAAGAGUAACGGAGGAGCACGAAGGUUGGCUAAUCCUGGUCGGACAUCAGGAGGUUAGUGCAAUGGCAUAAGCCAGCUUGACUGCGAGCGUGACGGCGCGAGCAGGUGCGAAAGCAGGUCAUAGUGAUCCGGUGGUUCUGAAUGGAAGGGCCAUCGCUCAACGGAUAAAAGGUACUCCGGGGAUAACAGGCUGAUACCGCCCAAGAGUUCAUAUCGACGGCGGUGUUUGGCACCUCGAUGUCGGCUCAUCACAUCCUGGGGCUGAAGUAGGUCCCAAGGGUAUGGCUGUUCGCCAUUUAAAGUGGUACGCGAGCUGGGUUUAGAACGUCGUGAGACAGUUCGGUCCCUAUCUGCCGUGGGCGCUGGAGAACUGAGGGGGGCUGCUCCUAGUACGAGAGGACCGGAGUGGACGCAUCACUGGUGUUCGGGUUGUCAUGCCAAUGGCACUGCCCGGUAGCUAAAUGCGGAAGAGAUAAGUGCUGAAAGCAUCUAAGCACGAAACUUGCCCGAGAUGAGUUCUCCCUGACUCCUUGAGAGUCCUGAAGGAACGUUGAAGACGACGACGUUGAUAGGCCGGGUGUGUAAGCGCAGCGAUGCGUUGAGCUAACCGGUACUAAUGAACCGUGAGGCUUAACCUU